ACAAUGAAGAGUUUGAUCCUGGCUCAGGAUGAACGCUAGCGGCAGGCUUAACACAUGCAAGUCGAGGGGCAUCGCGUUUUGUAGCAAUACAGGAUGGCGGCGACCGGCGCAAGGGUGCGUAACGCGUGAGCAACAUGCCCGUGUCACGGGGAUAACCCGGAGAAAUCCGGCCUAAUACCCGAUGGUUUCCUAAGAUGGCAUCAUUAUAGGAAUAAAGAUUUAUCGGACACGGAUUGGCUCGCGUGACAUUAGCUAGUCGGUGGGGUAACGGCCCACCGAGGCGACGAUGUCUAGGGGAACUGAGAGGUUGGUCCCCCACACUGGAACUGAGACACGGUCCAGACUCCUACGGGAGGCAGCAGUG
Molecule: ribosomal RNA, 364 nt
Filed under: Candidatus Coprenecus stercoripullorum
Lineage: Bacteria; Pseudomonadati; Bacteroidota; Bacteroidia; Bacteroidales; Rikenellaceae
Description: bacterial SSU rRNA
Rfam family: Bacterial small subunit ribosomal RNA
Source: RNAcentral